Molecule: ribosomal RNA, 301 nt
Filed under: uncultured bacterium
Lineage: Bacteria
Description: partial 16S ribosomal RNA
Rfam family: Bacterial small subunit ribosomal RNA
Source: RNAcentral
CAGUAGCCACGGUAAUACGUAGGUCCCGAGCGUUGUCCGGAUUUAUUGGGUGUAAAGCGGGCGCAGGCGGUUAGAUAAGUCUGAAGUUAAAGGCUGUGGCUUAACCAUAGUACGCUUUGGAAACUGUUUAACUUGAGUGCAAGAGGGGAGAGUGGAAUUCCAUGUGUAGCGGUGAAAUGCGUAGAUAUAUGGAGGAACACCGGUGGCGAAAGCGGCUCUCUGGCUUGUAACUGACGCUGAGGCCCGAAAGCGUGGGGAGCAAACAGGAUUAGAUACCCGUGUAGUCCCUGUCUCUUAUACA